CGUGCAGGCGGUGACUUAAGUCGAGCGUGAAAGCUCCCAGGCUCAACCGGGAGAGGACGUACGAAACUGGGUCACUUGAGACAGAUAGAGGCAGGUAGAAUUCCGGGUGUAGUGGUGAAAUGCGUAGAUAUCCGGAGGAAUACCAGUGGCGAAGGCGACCUGCCAGGUCUGUUCUGACGCUCAGACGCGAAAGCAUGGGUAGCGAACG
Molecule: ribosomal RNA, 208 nt
Filed under: uncultured bacterium
Lineage: Bacteria
Description: partial 16S ribosomal RNA
Rfam family: Bacterial small subunit ribosomal RNA
Source: RNAcentral